UGUAUUUUGGUGUAUGAUGCAUGUAGGGUUUUGAUCUCUAAGGAUUUAGUUUAAUUCUAAUAAAUAUAA
This 69-nucleotide transfer RNA is filed under the name Sophianus sp. Its description in RNAcentral is "tRNA-Gln". Lineage: Eukaryota; Metazoa; Arthropoda; Insecta; Hemiptera; Miridae. The record is from RNAcentral.